AGCAGCCGCGGUAAUUCCAGCUCCAAUAGCGUAUAUUAAAGUUGCUGCAGUUAAAAAGCUCGUAGUUGAAUUUCGGGACCAAUAUGUCGGUCGUGCCUCGGUACGUACUGGCAUCGUUGGUUUCUCCCUUCUGACGAACCAUGAUGUCAUUUAUUUGGUGUCGUGGGGAAUCAGGACUGUUACUUUGAAAAAUUAGAGUGUUUAAAGCAGGCUCACGCUUGAAUACAUUAGCAUGGAAUAAUGAAAUAGGACGUUUGAUUCUAUUUUGUUGGUUUCUAGGAUCGACGUAAUGAUUAAUAGGGAUAGUUGGGGGCAUUAGUAUUCAAUUGUCAGAGGUGAAAUUCUUGGAUUUAUUGAAGACUAACUACUGCGAAAGCAUUUGCCAAGGAUGUUUUCAUUAAUCAAGAACGAAAGUUAGGGGAUCGAAGACGAUCAGAUACCGUCGUAGUCUUAACCAUAAACUAUGCCGACUAGGGAUCGGAUGAUGUUAAUUUUUUAAUGUACUCAUUCGGCGUACCCG
RNAcentral lists this ribosomal RNA (520 nucleotides) under uncultured Glomus. RNAcentral's name for it is "SSU rRNA". It matches the Rfam family "Eukaryotic small subunit ribosomal RNA", at positions 569 to 1089 of the family's 1831-position model. The record is from RNAcentral. Lineage: Eukaryota; Fungi; Glomeromycota; Glomeromycetes; Glomerales; Glomeraceae.